UCCCCACCGAGGGCAGACACACCUCCCCCGAGCACCAAGCAGGGGAGAACCUGCUCGCGCCAGAAAGGGCCUUGGAAACUGACCUACGCGGUCACCCGGGCUUCCAGAGCACCCGGGGUGGUGGCCACGACCGCAGGUUUCCCGUCUGCCCGCCCCACGUCGAUGAAACGGCCGUCACCGACUGACUCUGGCUGGCACGCCCAGAGCACUCGCGACCCCGGGGAAAGACACGGUUCGGCGCCGGGAACGGCGCGGUGGGCAAGUCAGUAGCGCACCAGUCCGCGGGGAAGAGCCGCCGCACAAGCAUGCUCGAGUCCGGCUUAUUUGCACCGCCCCUGCUCAGCGCCACAGCCACCGCGGCACGCCCCGCCCCCGGCCCGCCACGCUCCAUUCCUGCCUGGAUCACCUACCACGCCGGCUCCAGGCUUUGGCAGGAGGAGCUAAGCCUCCGCGAUCCUCCCACCACACGCCGACCAGAAAGAAGCGGUGGAUGGUACCUCGCGGACUCAGAGGAGCUGUGGCGGGGGAAGAAGCUCCCCAAGGCAAAGAGUAGAAAUGGAAGCUCUGGAUGGAAAAGGGAUUUGGGAGUAACUGCCAUUCCCGUGUCUGCCUGACCUAAUUGAAAAGCUAACGAGCCUGGCCUCUACGGAUUGAACCACCUGAGCCUCCUUGCCUUCUGGCUUCCAGUUGGGUUCAGAGAAUGAGAGGUGCAAGCAGCAGAGUGUCAACAGGAAGAGAUUGAAUUUGAGGUAGGACACCACCAAAGCAUGGCUUGAUGGGCGGUGUGUAGGUUCACCCAGGAUCCGAACCCAUGAACCCCUGGCCGCUGAAGUGGAGCACACAAACUUAACUACUACACGACUGGGCUGGACCCUUAAGAUGGUAUU
This 887-nucleotide long non-coding RNA is filed under the name Equus asinus (donkey). RNAcentral's name for it is "lncRNA (ENSEASG00005029036.1)". The record is from RNAcentral. Lineage: Eukaryota; Metazoa; Chordata; Mammalia; Perissodactyla; Equidae.